This 883-nucleotide long non-coding RNA is filed under the name Monodelphis domestica (gray short-tailed opossum). RNAcentral's name for it is "lncRNA (ENSMODG00000032768.2)". Lineage: Eukaryota; Metazoa; Chordata; Mammalia; Didelphimorphia; Didelphidae. The record is from RNAcentral.
GGGCAGGACUGAAGUUUUGGGUCAAUCAAGGACCAUCACAAUGUCCCAAAGGACAGCUUUCGCAGCAGGGAUCCAGGAAAGCAACGCUUAUGGAGAAGGGGACAACCACUACCAUCAACUUUCAUCCAUAUGGUGGGGAAACCAUCUAACUAAAAUAGCAACAUGUCUUGAGGCAGGGAGAGAAAGAAUACAGGAUGUUCCAGGGUCAUCAAAGUCCAGAGGCAAGACAGGAGUCAUGGUGACUGACAAUGGCUUGAGAUGCAGUAGAUGAUCUUGGCUUCUUUGGAUGUCUAAACAAGUUCUGAGUACUCUACAGUACCUACUUCAUUUGCUUUCUUGGCUUAGAACAUAUUGUUCUCAUCCACUCAUUCUACUAGAAGUCUUCACAUGGUUGAGGGUAGAGGUCACUGAUAGGUUGAGGCUUGUUGUUUACUCUCAACUUGGUUUAGCCUCUUGGGCAAGACAGUUUUACUAGAGUGUGGACAGUUUCUUGGAGUUAUAAGUGAGAGUUAUGUGAAAGGUGGAUACAAAAGAUGAAUGAACAACCCUUAAAAGGGCUCAUUAACCCUUCUUACUAGAAAUGUUAGUCCUUCAUGAACACCCCAUAUGUCCCUUUUGGAAUAUAACCAGACCAAGAGAUUAGAAAAUUGAAUGUGUGACACUCGGUAUUCUUGGUGCAUUCCAGAUAGGUUUACUUAGGAUGACACCAUAGUGGCUAGAUCACUAGACUUAGAGCAGAGAAGAACUGAGUUCAAACAAUCCUUAAUCCAUUUGCUUUCUGGAUGGCCCUGAGCAAGUUACUUUACCUUGAUCUACUUCAGUUUCCUCAACUGAAAAAAAAGGGGAUAAUAAAAGUAUUUGUCUACUAAGUUAUUAGUAGGAU